RNAcentral lists this long non-coding RNA (996 nucleotides) under Heterocephalus glaber (naked mole-rat). Its description in RNAcentral is "lncRNA (ENSHGLG00100040295.1)". Lineage: Eukaryota; Metazoa; Chordata; Mammalia; Rodentia; Bathyergidae. The record is from RNAcentral.
GGCAUAACAGGACACAGCCAUGGUGUAAGGCUGGGCAGAGCCCUCAGAGCCUUGCUCAGCCAAGAACAGGAAGCCUGAUUGCACCUGGCCCCCUAGGUCUGGCGAGAGCAGCUCCCAGAGCCUGAGACGGAACUGUUUCUGGCUGCACCUGGCCUGGCUGCCUAGAGCAGGAACAGUUCUCAAGCUGGGGCAGAGCAGAGAUGAAGAAACAAGGACCAGAGAGGAAGGGGAGAGAGGCGCCGCUCCGGCAAAGGGUAAUGCAUGGAGACGCAAUGUCACUUACACAAGAUGUUGAUGGCAUUUACUAUAUAAAAACCUUCCUCCUAGAGUAAAGAGUAUCAGCAUUACAACGCGACAGACGGCGGCGGGAUAAGUAAAACAGACAGAAGACAAACAAGAUAAUAAUCUGUUUCCGAUCACUUAAGCCCUGUGGAGUUAGUAAUAUGCGGUUUGCAUAUUCCCCCUUGAGUUCGGUUUGCGGGAGGUGGCUGAGCGCACAGCCGUCGGACCGGCUCCGCACCGGGCGCGGGAGUCCGCAGCGAGACAAAGACGGGAGCUGUCCGCGGUUCUGAACCGGCGCGCUGGGGCGGAGCGCAGGGCUCCUGGGGCCGGCGGCCUCCUCUUCCCCUCUCCCUCAUUGUGACCCCUGCCUCUCUAGGCGUUUAUUUCGCUUUUUUGGGGCCCCGCCUUAAAACCUAUGUCAGAUAGAUAUACGGCGGCUGAUUAAAAACGAUUUCUCCUUUCUCAAAGAAAUGGUGCAGUAGAGGUUUAUUUUAACUGUGUGCUGUAAUAGACACGUGUAGCUCUUUCCACCCCUAAGGAAGUAGGGGUUCGUGUUUAAGAAUAGUAGAAUUAACCCUACCGAAUACCAUUAAUCUGCCCUGUGGUUUAUUCUGAUGAAGAAGGCAGGGGUUUCGUUUUGAAAUUUUUGUUUUGGGCGGUCAAAUCCCUGCCACUUUAACCCCUUCCAUAGAAAAACGCAUAAGAGCUGGGGAG